This 307-nucleotide unclassified non-coding RNA is filed under the name plant metagenome. Its description in RNAcentral is "partial contains 5.8S ribosomal RNA, internal transcribed spacer 2, and large subunit ribosomal RNA". The stretch from base 1 to 105 matches the Rfam family "5.8S ribosomal RNA", at positions 50 to 154 of the family's 154-position model. The record is from RNAcentral.
GAAAUGCGAUAAGUAGUGUGAAUUGCAGAAUUUAGCGAAUCAUCGAAUCUUUGAACGCACAUUGCGCCCCUUGGUAUUCCAUGGGGCAUGCCUGUUCGAGCGUCAUUUCAACCCUCAAGCACUGCUUGGUGUUGGGCGUUUGUCCCGCCUACGCGCGUGGACUCGCCUCAAAGUCAUUGGCGGCUGUUCCCCUACGGCUCGUAAGCGCAGCACAGUCGGCGCCUGGAGCUCUGGUGGGAUGGCGUCCAGCAAGCUAUAUUUUCAGGCUUGACCUCGGAUCAGGUAGGGAUACCCGCUGAACUUAAGC